This 1345-nucleotide ribosomal RNA is filed under the name uncultured bacterium. RNAcentral describes it as "bacterial SSU rRNA". It matches the Rfam family "Bacterial small subunit ribosomal RNA", at positions 28 to 1381 of the family's 1533-position model. The record is from RNAcentral.
GAUGAACGCUAGCGGGAGGCCUAACACAUGCAAGCCGAGCGGUAGAGUCUCUUCGGAGACUUGAGAGCGGCGCACGGGUGCGGAACACGUGUGCAACCUGCCUUUAUCUGGGGGAUAGCCUUUCGAAAGGAAGAUUAAUACCCCAUAAUAUACUGGAUGGCAUCAUCUGGUAUUGAAAACUCCGGUGGAUAGAGAUGGGCACGCGCAAGAUUAGAUAGUUGGUGAGGUAACGGCUCACCAAGUCUACGAUCUUUAGGGGGCCUGAGAGGGUGAUCCCCCACACUGGUACUGAGACACGGACCAGACUCCUACGGGAGGCAGCAGUGAGGAAUAUUGGACAAUGGGUGAGAGCCUGAUCCAGCCAUCCCGCGUGAAGGACGACGGCCCUAUGGGUUGUAAACUUCUUUUGUAUAGGGAUAAACCUAGAUACGUGUAUCUAGCUGAAGGUACUAUACGAAUAAGCACCGGCUAACUCCGUGCCAGCAGCCGCGGUAAUACGGAGGGUGCAAGCGUUAUCCGGAUUUAUUGGGUUUAAAGGGUCCGUAGGCUGAUUUGUAAGUCAGUGGUGAAAUCUCACAGCUUAACUGUGAAACUGCCAUUGAUACUGCAAGUCUUGAGUGUUGUUGAAGUAGCUGGAAUAAGUAGUGUAGCGGUGAAAUGCAUAGAUAUUACUUAGAACACCAAUUGCGAAGGCAGGUUACUAAGCAACAACUGACGCUGAUGGACGAAAGCGUGGGGAGCGAACAGGAUUAGAUACCCUGGUAGUCCACGCCGUAAACGAUGCUAACUCGUUUUUGGGUUUUCGGAUUCAGAGACUAAGCGAAAGUGAUAAGUUAGCCACCUGGGGAGUACGAACGCAAGUUUGAAACUCAAAGGAAUUGACGGGGGCCCGCACAAGCGGUGGAUUAUGUGGUUUAAUUCGAUGAUACGCGAGGAACCUUACCAAGGCUUAAAUGGGAAAUGACAGGUUUAGAAAUAGACUUUUCUUCGGACAUUUUUCAAGGUGCUGCAUGGUUGUCGUCAGCUCGUGCCGUGAGGUGUUAGGUUAAGUCCUGCAACGAGCGCAACCCCUGUCACUAGUUGCCAUCAUUAAGUUGGGGACUCUAGUGAGACUGCCUACGCAAGUAGAGAGGAAGGUGGGGAUGACGUCAAAUCAUCACGGCCCUUACGCCUUGGGCCACACACGUAAUACAAUGGCCGGUACAGAGGGCAGCUACACAGUGAUGUGAUGCAAAUCUCGAAAGCCGGUCUCAGUUCGGAUUGGAGUCUGCAACUCGACUCUAUGAAGCUGGAAUCGCUAGUAAUCGCGCAUCAGCCAUGGCGCGGUGAAUACGUUCCCGGGCCU